RNAcentral lists this long non-coding RNA (364 nucleotides) under Ananas comosus (pineapple). RNAcentral describes it as "long non-coding RNA (ACOM_LNC037439)". Lineage: Eukaryota; Viridiplantae; Streptophyta; Magnoliopsida; Poales; Bromeliaceae. The record is from RNAcentral.
UACCGCUCCACGUGCGAUCUCACACAAAACGGUACAUAAAAUGUCGCACUUUUUACGAAAAUACCGUUUUGCCAUCACCGACCUCUCCUCGAUCAACGCGCAAUCUCCGCAGAUCGGUCCGUCAGAUUUGCGAAUGGACCGCACCAGUGCGAUCAGCACAACAGAGACAACAAAGCUACAAUUUCGUUUCACCUCGCUCCAUCGCGGAUUCGCAACGAAAUCCGAUCCAUCUCUCCAAUAGAAGAACUACGCACAAAUACAUAUAAAACACGUAUUUUCAGAUUUUCUUGAAAUCCGUGCUUCAAACUCAAAAUCCGUCAGCGUCAUCAGUUCCAGAACAGCUGAACCGAUCGAAACGAGCUAU